UAAUGCUCCAUAGUGGAUAUGUCCUGGAAUGGUAUAUCCUCGAAAGAUCCGUCGCCUUAGGAUGGGACUGCGUCCGAUUAGGUUGUUGGCGGGGUAACGGCCCACCGAGCCAUUGAUCGGUACGGGUUGUGGGAGCAAGAUCCCGGAGAUGGAUUCUGAGACAUGAAUCCAGGCCCUACGGGGCGCAGCAGGCGCGCAAACUUUACAAUGCGAGCAAUCGUGAUAAGGAAACCCUGAGUGCCUGUCGAUGCAGGCUGUUCAUAUAUCUAAAUCAUAUGUGAAGAAAGGGCAGGGCAAGACCGGUGCCAGCCGCCGCGGUAAUACCGGCUGCUCGAGUGAUGGCCACUAUUACUGGGUUUAAAGCGUCCGUAGCUUGACUGUUAGGUCUCUUGGGAAAUCUUCACGCUCAACGUGAAGGCGUCUAAGAGAUACCGGCAGUCUUGGAACUGGGAGAGGUAAACCGUACUUCGGGGGUAGGAGUGAAAUCUUGUAAUCCUCGAGGGACGACCUAUGGCGAAGGCAGUUUACCAGAACAGCUUCGACAGUGAGGGACGAAAGCUGGGGGAGCAAACGGGAUUAGAUACCCCGGUAGUCCCAGCCGUAAACCAUGUGCGUUAGGUGU
Molecule: ribosomal RNA, 622 nt
Filed under: uncultured archaeon
Lineage: Archaea
Description: bacterial SSU rRNA
Rfam family: Archaeal small subunit ribosomal RNA
Source: RNAcentral